CCUUGUGGUCUGGUGGUUAAGAUGCUGCACUUCCAAUGCAGGGGGCACGAGUUUGAUCCCUGGUCAGGG
RNAcentral lists this transfer RNA (69 nucleotides) under Bos taurus (domestic cattle). It matches the Rfam family "tRNA". From Rfam's summary of the family: Transfer RNA (tRNA) molecules are approximately 80 nucleotides in length. Their secondary structure includes four short double-helical elements and three loops (D, anti-codon, and T loops). Further hydrogen bonds mediate the characteristic L-shaped molecular structure. tRNAs have two regions of fundamental functional importance: the anti-codon, which is responsible for specific mRNA codon recognition, and the 3' end, to which the tRNAs corresponding amino acid is attached (by aminoacyl-tRNA synthetases). tRNAs cope with the degeneracy of the genetic code in two manners: having more than one tRNA (with a specific anti-codon) for a particular amino acid; and 'wobble' base-pairing, i.e. permitting non-standard base-pairing at the 3rd anti-codon position. RNAcentral also lists the same sequence under 4 other names. Lineage: Eukaryota; Metazoa; Chordata; Mammalia; Artiodactyla; Bovidae. The record is from Rfam by way of RNAcentral.